This 1583-nucleotide long non-coding RNA is filed under the name Salmo salar (Atlantic salmon). RNAcentral's name for it is "lncRNA (ENSSSAG00000116157.1)". The record is from RNAcentral. Lineage: Eukaryota; Metazoa; Chordata; Actinopteri; Salmoniformes; Salmonidae.
GUCCAAAACCACUGCUUCUGUGUUGCAGGAAGUGCUCUGUGCAAUCAUCUAGUGGCCCUUCUUUACCAGACAGCGCACUACUCUCAACUAAACAUUCCUGCUGCACCACCAAUUCACAUCUGCACAGACACAGAACAGAGUUGGCACAAGCCAAGAACACUUUUGACUCUAUCAAUAUCCAUAAAAAUGCACCUGAAAAGUAUUCAGCCUAUGUAACAGUAAAUCCUUGUUAAUUAGGGUGUGAAGCCAGGUCCGGUUGAUGGGAUAGAGUUCCAUAAACAUACUAACUUAAUUAGGGUGUGAAACCAGGUCCGGUUGAUGGGAUGGAGUUCUGUAAACAUACUAACUUAAUUAGGGUGUGAAACCAGGUCCGGUUGAUGGGAUAGAGUUCUGUAAACAUACUAACUUAAUUAGGGUGUGAAGCCAGGUCUGGUUGAUGGGAUAGAGUUCUGUAGACCUACUAACUUAAUUAGGGUGUGAAGUCAGGUCCGGUUGAUAUGUAAGAGUGCGUGCUGGUGGCAGGGAAGUCAGGCGCAGGAGAUCGAACUUGGUAUAAACGGAGCAGUUUAAUAAGUGCUCAAAAACUCAGAAAACCAAAAUAUACAAAAUAAUACAAUUGGGUACUGAUAAGGAAAUUAUAUGUUUAAGAUAAUGACUAAAUUAUUCCACCCUGUCACUGUAUAAUUGAGUGAAAUGUAUUAGAAUCAUAAGACUAGAAUUCUCUAAUGUGUGUGCAUAGGAAAAGAGGAACUGUCAACAGACAACUUGUGAUAGACAACUGUGAAACUGAUAACAGGAAGGAGGUCUCCCCAUCCAGGGAGGGGAGAAACCGUAAGGCUUGCAGUAGAUUGUGCAGGAUAUGAUAAGCAAUGUAUGUGUUGGAACAUUCUUGUAAAUAGCAAGAGGAGGGGCAUUUAUAAGGGGUACGGUAUGACCAAAUGUGAGGUAUAAAAGGCUAUGUGCGUUGUAUGAUUUUUAGAGCUCUCUGAAUAAAGAACUAACCUUUUGCAGAGAUUCUGGGACUUUGUCAAAUUCUUCUAUUAACCGGGGCCUUACAACCCCUUAAGUAUUUAAUGAAGUUGUCCCUUACUGGUUUUCUUCCAGUAACACGUGUUUCAGACAGAUUGGUGCUUGUGACUUAUAAACUUGGUCUCUGCUGCCCGCUCAAUCAAGUGCCAGAAGGUCAUCAGUGGGUCCCGACCUGACAUGGACAGCCAACACAAACCUACUGGGUGGAGGUACAGGACGGUCGGGCAGGCUGACUGGGUGGAGGAAGGACAGGAGCACCUCCACUACCAGGUUCAAGAAUAGCUUUUAUCUGACUGCUGUUUUUAAUACUUUAGCAUUUAUGACUACUGUUUUUUUUAUAAUAUUACCACUCUGGGCGUAUUUUUACUGUAUUCCUCGAUGUGUGUUAAGUACUUUAUCUGAGAGAGCUACAACGUAGAAUUCCAAUGUAUGUAUUACUGUUAAUAGGUAUUUUGCAAAUGGCAAAUAUAGUGUACUACUUAAAUAAACUACUUGAAUAAACUACUUAAAUAAACUACUUAAAUAAACUACUUGAAUAAACUACUUGAAUAAAC